CGCUGGCGGCGUAGAUUAGGCAUGCAAGUCGAGCGAUCCUUGACAAAUUUUACUGGGGCGUAAGUUCUGGUGAGAUUUGUCAAGGAUAGCGGCAGACUGGUGAGUAACACGUGAGUAAUUUACCUCUAAGUCGGGGAUAGCUUUGCGAAAGCGAAGGUAAUACCCGAUGUGUUUACGACUGCAUAAGCAGUUGUAUGUAAAGAAGGCUCGCAAGAGUUUUCGUUUAGAGAUGAGCUCGCGUCCUAUCAGCUAGUUGGUGGGGUAAUGGCCUACCAAGGCUUUUGACGGGUAGCUGGCCUGAGAGGGUGGUCAGCCACAUGGGGACUGAGACACUGCCCCAACUCCUACGGGAGGCUGCAGUCGAGGAUAUUUAGCAAUGGACGAAAGUCUGACUAUGUGACGCCGCGUGAGGGAUGAAGGUCUUCGGAUUGUAAACCUCUUUCGAUAGGGAAGAAAACCUAUUCUUAACGGAAUAGACUGACGGUACCUAGAGAAGAAGCCACGGCCAACUCUGUGCCAGCAGCCGCGGUAAUACAGAGGUGGCGAGCGUUACUCGGAUUUAUUGGUGUAAAGGGCAAGUAGGCGUCUUAACAAGUUAGUAGUGAAAUCCUGCAGCUCAACUGCAGAACUGCUUCUAAAACUGUUGAGAUUGAGACUGGAAGAGGAAAGCGGAAUUCUCGGUGUAAGAGUGAAAUCUGUAGACAUCGAGAGGAACACCAGUGGCGAAGGCGGCUUUCUGGUCCAGUACUGACGCUGGAUGCGAAAGCUAGGGGAGCAAACAGGAUUAGAUACCCUGGUAGUCC
RNAcentral lists this ribosomal RNA (803 nucleotides) under uncultured bacterium. RNAcentral's name for it is "bacterial SSU rRNA". It matches the Rfam family "Bacterial small subunit ribosomal RNA", at positions 34 to 796 of the family's 1533-position model. The record is from RNAcentral.